This 85-nucleotide transfer RNA is filed under the name Felis catus (domestic cat). It matches the Rfam family "tRNA". From Rfam's summary of the family: Transfer RNA (tRNA) molecules are approximately 80 nucleotides in length. The record is from Rfam by way of RNAcentral. Lineage: Eukaryota; Metazoa; Chordata; Mammalia; Carnivora; Felidae.
GCCUGGGUGGCUCAGUUGGUUAAGCAUCUGACUUCAGCUCAGGUCAUAGUAUCAUGGUUCGUGAGUUUGAGCCCCGCAUCAGGCU